Molecule: ribosomal RNA, 253 nt
Filed under: uncultured bacterium
Lineage: Bacteria
Description: partial 16S ribosomal RNA
Rfam family: Bacterial small subunit ribosomal RNA
Source: RNAcentral
UACGAAGGGGGCGAGCGUUGUUCGGAAUUACUGGGCGUAAAGGGCGCGUAGGCGGCCGAUCAAGUUAGAUGUGAAAGUCCUGGGCUUAACCUGGGGACUGCAUUUGAUACUGAUUGGCUUGAAUUCGGGAGAGGAUAGCGGAAUUCCCAGUGUAGAGGUGAAAUUCGUAGAUAUUGGGAAGAACACCGGUGGCGAAGGCGGCUAUCUGGACCGACAUUGGCGCUGAGGCGCGAAAGCGUGGGGAGCAAACAGG